AUCCGCAGCUGAUGACCUCCUCAGUGAUUUCUCUUCCACUCUGCAUUGCCUUCUCUCUCUCCAAGCUUGUUAUACUGAAUCUUCACUUCCUGGAAAGACCCUGGGACCCCACCACCUGGAUCUGUAUCCUUUUUCUACCACUUACUCCCUGAGCAACACUGGAUUCUCUUGGAUUACUAAACAUGGAGGGAAAAGCACUUAAACCUGGCUUGGAGAAAGAGAAGAGAGGAGAGUCAUAUUCAAGGACUGUACUCUAAAUAUUCCUCCAAUAACAACAGCUUCUUGCAGAAACUCAGGUCAGAUGUCUUCAGGCUACAGCGCAGUGGAAUAAAAACAUCGUCCAGCUCUCAUUGAAUGGGGAAUUUAUCAGGCUGUAUUUUAAAAAAUCUCCUUUUGUGCAACUAGUGAGAGUCUCAGGAACCAUGUUUAUAUCCAUAAUAAUGAAGCUAGAUAAGGGUGCCUGACUCAGAUUCCGCCCAUCAAAACAAACCAGCCAAGCACCAUGUGAAAAGCUUUGAUAAGGCCCUGUGAAGACCGCUUAUGCAGUCCAUUUGUCAUUGAACAUGUUUCCUCCUUAGCACAAUAUUUUUAAACAGCUUGAUUUUUUAAAAAAAUCAAUAGUCUUUGAGUAAGAAUGAUAUCAGGACAACAGUCUUCAAUUUAAUAUUGAGGGCUUAUUUCACAUCUCUUUCAGCUUUAAACCAACUUGCUUGUAUCAUAGUCCAAAUUCCAACAGUGACUUUCCAAUGCUUCCAGAUGAAUUCAUAAUUUCUUUUGUCAUGUAACACAGGCACAGUUUUCUUUUUCUUUUACUGGUGGUUUUCAAACCUAAUUUUUGAGCAGAGGAAACUCUUUUAUCAAAUAAAAUCUUACUCAGAACUCCACAGCAGAGUGGAACUACUCAGGAAGUGUCCCUUAUCUGGAAGGUCAUUGGGAAACCACUGCCUUAUUGCAAAAAUGCUUUGUUUGACUUGCAGAUUUCAUAGCCAGAAUAGAGAAGCAAUCAACAUGUAAUUUCCUCAAACAAUGGAAAUUCAUUAAGUAGCACCUAACUAGAAAAUAAUAAUAUAUAGUAACUAAAUUCAUGAA
Molecule: long non-coding RNA, 1089 nt
Filed under: Equus caballus (horse)
Lineage: Eukaryota; Metazoa; Chordata; Mammalia; Perissodactyla; Equidae
Description: lncRNA (ENSECAG00000056363.1)
Source: RNAcentral